CGCCUCGAUAUCACUGCUUAGAACGAUC
This 28-nucleotide small RNA is filed under the name Bombyx mori (domestic silkworm). RNAcentral describes it as "piRNA piR-bmo-1415885". Lineage: Eukaryota; Metazoa; Arthropoda; Insecta; Lepidoptera; Bombycidae. The record is from RNAcentral.